UAGCGUUCACCAAGGCAAGCAGAUGGCGCCAGGAGACAUGGAGCCCCCCUGCCAGUGUGAGUCGUAGCAGUACAGGAGGGCACACCCUGGAGGAGACAGCUGCCUAAGUUGAUGUCUGCACAGUGAAUUCCAGAGGCUUAGGAAGCUCUGCG
Rattus norvegicus (Norway rat) is the source of this 152-nucleotide non-coding RNA. The record is from Rfam. NCBI's taxonomy places the organism in Eukaryota, Metazoa, Chordata, Mammalia, Rodentia, Muridae.